AUGCCUGAACAAGACCAAAGAGAAGAAAAGGAUAACCUUAAUGAUCUGGUUCUUUUACCUUCUUCACCUAAAAAUCGUGAGGCCGUAGCAUCCGAUAUCAAUGUUUCUUUGCAUGGAGAAAGAGAGAACAGAAGGAAGAAGAAGGUUAUGCACCAAGUGAAUCUCGUGAUGUUGAAAAGGGUUUGUCGUCACAACGCAAAAAGAGAAAGGAAAUAUAGUAAAGCAAAGUGA
Non-coding RNA from Vicia faba (fava bean), 231 nucleotides. NCBI's taxonomy places the organism in Eukaryota, Viridiplantae, Streptophyta, Magnoliopsida, Fabales, Fabaceae. The record is from the annotation of a GenBank genome assembly.